UAGGGAAUCUUCCGCAAUGGGCGAAAGCCUGACGGAGCAACGCCGCGUGAGUGAUGAAGGCCUUCGGGUUGUAAAACUCUGUCUUCUGUGAAGAACCAUCCUGUGCAGAGAAAGCUCAGGACCUGACGGUAACAGAGGAGGAAGCCCCGGCUAACUACGUGCCAGCAGCCGCGGUAAUACGUAGGGGGCAAGCGUUGUCCGGAAUCACUGGGCGUAAAGCGCGCGCAGGCGGUCUUUCACGUCCGGGGUGAAAGCCCAGAGCUCAACUCUGGGAUUGCCUUGGAUACGGGGAGACUUGAGGAUCGGAGAGGCAAGGGGAAUUCCACGUGUAGCGGUGAAAUGCGUAGAGAUGUGGAGGAACACCUGUGGCGAAGGCGCCUUGCUGGCCGAUUUCUGACGCUGAGGCGCGAAAGCGUGGGGAGCAAACA
RNAcentral lists this ribosomal RNA (428 nucleotides) under uncultured Alicyclobacillus sp. Its description in RNAcentral is "bacterial SSU rRNA". It matches the Rfam family "Bacterial small subunit ribosomal RNA", at positions 355 to 774 of the family's 1533-position model. The record is from RNAcentral. RNAcentral also lists the same sequence under 1 other name. Lineage: Bacteria; Bacillati; Bacillota; Bacilli; Caryophanales; Alicyclobacillaceae.